UACGUAGGGUGCAAGCGUUAAUCGGAAUUACUGGGCGUAAAGCGUGCGCAGGCGGUUUUGUAAGUCUGUCGUGAAAGCCCCGGGCUCAACCUGGGAAUUGCGAUGGAGACUGCAAGGCUUGAAUCUGGCAGAGGGGGGUAGAAUUCCACGUGUAGCAGUGAAAUGCGUAGAUAUCUGGAGGAACACCGGUGGCGAAGGCGGCAUCCUGGACCAAUACUGACGCUGAGGAGCGAAAGCCAGGGGAGCAAACGGG
Molecule: ribosomal RNA, 253 nt
Filed under: uncultured bacterium
Lineage: Bacteria
Description: partial 16S ribosomal RNA
Rfam family: Bacterial small subunit ribosomal RNA
Source: RNAcentral